CUGCCUGGGUAACCAGGAGGAAGGUGGGGAUGACGUCAAAUCAUCAUGCCCCUUAUGUCCAGGGCUACACACGUGCUACAAUGGUAGGUACAAUAAGACGCAAGACCGUGAGGUGGAGCAAAACUUAUAAAACCUAUCUCAGUUCGGAUUGUAGGCUGCAACUCGCCUACAUGAAGCUGGAGUUGCUAGUAAUCGCGAAUCAGAAUGUCGCGGUGAAUACGUUCCCGGGCCUUGUACACACCGCCCGUCACACC
Molecule: ribosomal RNA, 254 nt
Filed under: Clostridium sporogenes
Lineage: Bacteria; Bacillati; Bacillota; Clostridia; Eubacteriales; Clostridiaceae
Description: partial 16S ribosomal RNA
Rfam family: Bacterial small subunit ribosomal RNA
Source: RNAcentral